UAAUUACAUAAUGAGGUAUUCCAAAUAUUAACAAUUUCAAGUCAUUUGAGUAUAGUUGCAGGACACAUAAUUCCAACAUCUCCCACUUGUCCAAAACGAUCGUUCAAAUAUUCGUAACCCCAUAGUCUUAACAUGCUUACCAAAUACCUCAUGACUAAUAGGCUUAGUCAAGGGUCAGCAACCAGGGUAACACUAUGUUGAAAAUCCAAAGAAAUAUAUAGUGAUACCUUCCCUCAGUAUGUUUCCUUGCUGUGACUCUUAAGAUCACUAGAGACCUUUAGUUUUCGCCUAAUUAUUCCAGCAUAGCUGUCCUCGGCGCCUCGAGUAUUAUUUCCUCGAGUGUAAUUCCUCCUUUAUAGGCACCUCGAUUAUUUUGUUCCUCAAGUGAAAUUUCGCAUCAAUUGUUUUCCAUCACAUAUAUCAAUAAUAUGAUUAAUUCCACAUUGAGUCAAAUAUAUGAUAACCAUGUAGAAUAAAAUUUCCAAAACCACAUAAAUAUCAAAUCCAAUCAGUAAAUGAAACUCCAUAAGCAACCAUGUUUUGAAAGAAAUUCCUGACUUCGGUCAGUGAACCUGCACCAUAUUAGUACUUCACAAAAAAAGGAUAUGCAUACCUGGACUUAUUUCUCAUCUCGUAGAUACAAUAAUAGCUUCCUCAGUGUGUUUACCUUUAAUAUAAAUUUCAAAAUAAGUGACAGGUUGUGAUGCACUUUCCACAAUCUUAUAUGAUGUGUGAGAUUCCCUUAGAUGCUCGUCUUUCCUUCCACUGCUUGAAUGAAGCAUAAAUUCUGAAAGCUAAGUUAUGAUAACAUAAUGAAGAUACAUACGAGUUCCAAUAUCAUUUAUUAUUCCACUUUUCUCAGUAGUUCAAAUAUAAUUCCUCACUGAGUAUGAUUCCCUUUACCAAAAGGUAUUUAACAGAUUUGCAAUUUUCCAUAGAGAAACAUUUCAAAAUAUUUUCUAUGUAUUUCCAAUCGUAAAACAUAGGAUGUUUAAAAUGUUCCUUUCAUAUGAAAGUUAAAAGAUGACCAAGCUUUCACUUCCAUCAAUGUGACUAUAUCAUUGCAAACAACAAAACAAUAUUAACAUAUACAAUAAUAAUGCAAAAUACUUUACACUUACAUUUGUAGAUGACCAUCUUGCUUCAUUUAGAAAACCAUAUGACCUGCUAUUCCAUUGAUGUGAAGCUUGUUAUAAGACCAUACGUUAAUAUACUCAAUUAGCAAACCAUGUCUUUAGUUCCUCUUUCCCAAAAUUCCAGGAGAGAGAGUUUCCACAAGGCAUAUUUCCCUUUGUGUGAAUAAUUGAAUAACAAGAGUGACAUUAUAAUAUUCCAGCGAGCCAAAUAUCCUUUAAAAAAAUCACUUCCAGACAAUAGGCUUGCAGUUAUUUGGUAUGAUAUUAAGUUCCCAAAGUAUGCUCUUCCUCAUUUGAGUUUAUUCCUUUCCUCAAUUCUUCCACCCAUAGUUAACAUUGAAAAAAAACUUCAAGGGAUUUAGCGAUUCCUCUAAAAUUUAGAGUGGCAUGCCCCAACAACAUACAACUAUUAUCCAAACAUGAUAUUCUGAGCUAAUUCCUCCCACUUAUCCUAAGCAUGUCAUGUUUGGAGUGUCACUUGUAGUUUCUUUGGGGUCAAGAUUAUAUUCCAGUAUGAUUGUCAAUAAUUCCACCCUUGAUCAUACAAAUAAUUGUGUUCCUACUUUCCACCAGUUUUCCUUUUCCGGGUAACAAAGGAAACACCCUUUGAUCCACUAGAAUAACCAUGAAAAAAAAUCCUGGUGUGCGCUUUGUAAUAACUGAGAAUUUCAUGCCAAAAUAGAAGAUUUCCUUCCAGUCAACUGAUUGUAGUAGAUGGAGAAUGAUAUCAACAAAUGACAGUAUGCAAUGCUUCCAAAGAAACAAGGGAGUAUACAAGACAUUCAAAAUCCUCCAUUCAAUUGUGGAGUGUAUGGUAUAUUACAAUGGUGAAUAGUUCCAUGCUCUCUACAUACAAACAAUAUAUUCCUGAAGUGUACUUCCCCCAUCAAUCAGUUGUUAAAACUAUGAUAUUAUUUAAUCAACUGAUUUUCCACUUCAGUAUAACAUGUGACCAACACAAUAAAACCUUCUGACUUGUAUAAUAAAUGAUAAACAUAACCAUAUAAAAGUGUAAUCAUCGAAGAGUGGGAUGAAAUAAAUAACCUGACCUCUAGUGGGGAUGUCCAAAGAAAUAUCAUAAGUAUAAAAAAACAAAUGUGAAGCCCUUUCAUCUCCUUCCACCUUAAUAAACAAGGUGUAUUAAAAAAUAUGCUUCACAUGUACCAUAGUCCUCCCACUAGAGUUCAAAAUUCCAGAAUCAAUAAGCCUCUUGAUCCAGUUCCAAGAUAUGUGACGAUAUGUAGAUAAUAAGAUUCCAAGCAUAUGUGUUCCCAUUGUCGAUAUUCCUCCGUAUGGAGUUAUCUUCGCAAAAUAUAAACAUUAUGGUUUGCAAACUUCCAAUGGACAUCAAGAAAGAUAGAUCAUUGUGUGAAAAUCCAUACUGCACUAAUUUAACUAUUGAGCAAUAUUUCCAUUCUUCCUUUUCCAAACAGUGUGUCAUAAUCAAUAGAUUCCAAGAUAUAACAAUAAAGCAAAUUCGUUCUUACUGAAGUUUCACAGAGUGUCCAGUAGCAAUAAUACCUUUUCUCCACAAGGGAGUUUCAUGGCAAAAUUUCCAAUUCCAAAGUGUAUAAGAUUUAGCAGCAAUGACAAAGCAUAGAAAUAUAUAUAUAUAUAUAUAUAUAUAUAUAUAUAUAUAUAUAUAUAUAUAUAUAAUUUCCUUUGGAACUGUUACCAUGUGAACAAAAUUGCUAUUGCAUUCCAGCAAUAUGAGACAUAACCACAAUCCAGCUACAUGAAAAAAUAUCCCUGAAUAAAUAAAUAUAGUGCAAAUAUUAUCAUCAGGCAUAUCAACAAUUGAAGAGAAAUUUCCUUGUCCACGGACUGACUCCCAACUUCCUCCACAAACAAGUGAUGCUGAGUAAUAAGAUCUUUUCUAGAUGUGCAUAAUUUCCAUGCUAUCUUUUCACUGAAGUAAUUGCCGGCCCAUCCGGGCACUCAUGAUCUAAGGUCCUUGGAUUUCUUUUUUGUAUGGACUAGUAUUCUUCUGAGGAGUAAAUAUCAUCUCCUUGUCAUGAAUUGCAUGCAAUAGAUCUGAGAAAAAAAUUAAUCAGUGAUCAAAUAAAAUGAUUAAAACCAUGGAUGCGUUUGGUGCGUGUAGUCCUUCCAGCAAGCUGGCCGUUGCUUGCAAAAGUUCGUUCCACUUUCGUGUUAUUUGCCUUCCUGCAUAUACCAAAGUACUACACGCCUUCGUAUUGAAGCAGUAGAAGCAAAAGAAGUUUCUCUUUUCCUUCAGCUAUCCUUGCGAAGUGGCCGUUCAGAGAAGAAGCAGCAUGCAGUGUUGGUUAUGGCAAAAGUCAACCGGCCGUCGUUUGUCCGAUGGGAUGCAACGAAACCAUCAAGGCAACACAUAGUCACGUACAGGCAGCGGUAGGAUGGCAAGCUUGUCCACGUCUUCGGUUGUCAACAGGCCGCCGAACGCAGCGGAAUUUCCUGGCCAGGACCUCAAGCCAGUGAUGCAGUCGGGUCGCGUCGGACGCAUCUGAGCGACACUGACACGGAGCAGCGAACCCAACGACGCGAAGGUCUAGUGGCGACCUUGUGGCGAACUCGUCGAUGCGGAGGUCACCGGCGGUAGUCCAGCUCGACUCGGCGCGGAACAACACGGAGUCGACGGAGUGGACUUGGAGCGGCGGCUCCGAGAACCCAAUCAAGAAAAAAAUCUUACGAUUCACAAAGAGAGUUAAUUUCCUACACAGGGAGCAUCUUGCAUGGUGUGCCUCGUAUAUGGGUUGGGUGCAUGAUUGAGCCACGCACUAGCAGACGAUGUGAACUUUGCUUUGACUAUUCUAGAUCAUACGAAGCCUCCAACAACUUGGUGUAAUCAGCAUGGCGCGAGCGCAAGCUGGCUAGCAGCGCCCGAUCGGCGUCAGCCCUAGAGUCGUGCGAUGAGGAGGAUCCCGAGCGAUCUGGAGGAGCAGAGUUUGAUCCGGUGGCAGAGUUCGGUCCUGGUGGACCGACUAGGAUCACGGCGGCGGCGUGACCUAAACCUUGCUCAACAUACCAAUGUAAGAAAUUUAGGGUUUUAGUCUACUCUCUAUUUCUCUGCGCUUAUCCGUGGUGUCGCUCACAAAUCGCAUAUCUGAGGCUAGGGGGUAGGGACCUUCUUAUAUUGUUUUUUCAAAGAGUCCACCUCUUAUACAGAUAUAAGAUUUCUAAUUUUUUUUCCACUAGUUUUCGGGAUAGAGUCCAGAUCAAAUUACCAACCACGAUCAUAUUUGUCUGUUAACGGAUUCUACCCGUUAUGUCCCUGGAGCACGCGCUUGUCAGCAACGCGCCAUAAUAGAGUGUAAAUUCAUCUAAUUAUGUAGAUCUACAUUAGGGCUGUAAUCUAACUAUACGAUCUAGCUCCUUCCAAUCAUCAGUGUAUCCGAUAGUCUUUCCAAUAUAACUACUAUAUUGUAUUCCACUGAUAAUCGACCAGCUUCCUUAAGCAUACAACUUAAGUACAUUCCAGCAAGUAACAAUUCCAUGAUAAACAUGUAAAGCAAUUCCAUGUAUAAAAACAUGUAUAAUUCCAUAAUGAGGUAUUCCAAAUAUUAACAAUUUCAAGUCAUUUGAGUAUAGUUGCAGGACACAUAAUUCCAACAUCUCCCACUUGUCCAAAACAAUCGUUCAAAUAUACGUAACCCCAUAGUCUUAACAUGCUUACCAAAUACCUCAUGACUAAUAGGCUUAGUCAAGGGUCAGCAACCAGGGUAACACUAUGUUGAAAAUCCAAAGAAAUAUAUAGUGAUACCUUCCCUCAG
Molecule: long non-coding RNA, 4885 nt
Filed under: Triticum aestivum (bread wheat)
Lineage: Eukaryota; Viridiplantae; Streptophyta; Magnoliopsida; Poales; Poaceae
Description: long non-coding RNA (TAES_LNC017783)
Source: RNAcentral